This 253-nucleotide ribosomal RNA is filed under the name uncultured bacterium. RNAcentral describes it as "partial 16S ribosomal RNA". It matches the Rfam family "Bacterial small subunit ribosomal RNA", at positions 524 to 776 of the family's 1533-position model. The record is from RNAcentral.
UACGGAGGGUGCAAUCGUUGCUCGGAAUCACUGGGCGUAAAGGGCGUGUAGGCGGUCCGCUAAGUCUGAUGUGAAAGCCCGGGGCUCACCCCCGGAAGGGCAUUGGAAACUGGCGGACUCGAGUCUCGGAGAGGAAGGUGGAAUUCCUGGUGUAGCGGUGAAAUGCGUAGAUAUCAGGAGGAACACCGGUGGCGAAGGCGGAUCUCUGGGCCUUACCUGACGCUGAGGCGCGAAAGCUAGGGGAGCGAACAGG